Xylaria scruposa is the source of this 113-nucleotide non-coding RNA. The record is from the annotation of a GenBank genome assembly. Lineage: Eukaryota; Fungi; Ascomycota; Sordariomycetes; Xylariales; Xylariaceae.
GGCUAGGUGGCGGAGUGGUUAACGCGGUAGACUCGAAGGUUCCUGCAGUUUAAUCAGGAGUUUUCAGCUAUCUACUUCCUUCGGGAGCGUCUGUUCGAAUCAGGCCCUAGUCG